AGACUACACCAGGUUUAACAUGCUAAGAUGCUGAGAUGCAACCCUAUAAGGCCCUGACGAACUCUGUUAUCAAUCAGUCACAGAGUGUAGCAAUCAUUAGUCUGAGAAAAAGAUGCACACAAUGCUGCCAUUCAGUGUGAAAAAUGCUUCUGAAUGUCAUAACAACUCUUUACAUCUUCUAUUCAUCACACUUUUGUUUGCUUGCUGUCCCUGUCUUUCUUACAUCAACAGAACCAAUUACAUUACAUUGUCCCGGUCACGACAUGUCUGCAGCCCUCAAGUACGACUCGCCUACCGAGUCUCGCCCCAGAAAAGGCACGUUUAAAGUCAAUGCAAACACAAUCAAUCAAAAUCAUCAAAACAAAAGGACUAAAAUGCAUUGAUCCAUAUCAUUCUGCCGUCUCCAAAGCCACCUAAAGUAAUUGUGCCUUAGGACAGAACUGCUCAAGUCAAUUAAUGUUAUGACUCAGCUGAUGGCUGGCCCAGUUAAACAAUGAUUGGUGGCUGCCAUUAGGCACUCACAAAUGCUGUUUGCUUUCUACUUUGAUGCACAUGUGAAAGGGAUGAGUGAUGACGUUCGUUGGCAGUAGAUAUGAACUAAUAAACAGCGACAGGGAGGAGAGAGAUCUGCGUGAUCUGCAGUAGGAAGUGAUUUAUCCCGGUCAGUGUCGGAGUGGAGCCGGAGCCUGUUCCUAGAACACUGCAUGUAAAGCAGGAAAACAUCCACCACAGGGCACCAUUCACUUGUUCAUGCACUCAUUUAUACCUCAGGGCAAUGCAGCACCACUUACCGAGGUCGCAGGAAGUGAUGCAAUACAAUAGGCAGAUCCAUGUUAUAGCCUUACAUCAUGGCACGUGGCAUCACACGGCAUCAGAGUACACACACAAGUCCUGGGUUGUAUGUGACCGCAUGUGAGAGACGUUUCAUAAAGAGAAGAAAAAUGAAGACGGGAUUCUGCCUUAAUAGUGAAUUUGUAUUAAUGCCCACAUGUGUUAGACAUUCCAUAUUUCAUAUGGAGUCCACUUGUUCCAUCAAUUUCCAGGCGAAGCACACAAAAUGGGAUCUGAAAUUCAAUCUGGUCCAUUUUAUACACUUGGGAGAAGGUACACAUUAAAAUUAUUGUUUUUUGGGCACAAUAAAUACACGUAUUAAUUCUCAACAUAUUCUAAGCCUGAUAACAGACUGAAAACAUGUUAUGUAAAUGAAGAAAACCUUUCUGAGGAAGCAUUUAGUCAAUGUUUUUUUUUCAGUACAUUUUCCACCAUUGGGAAGCUUCUAAGUUUAUAUGUACCAUUAUAUAUUCUUUUUUCACCUUGUUAAGAUAAAAAGAAACACAUGAAACCCUCUUUAGAGCUGUUAUAACAUACAGUAAGUAAGUUGUAAAUAAGUUUCACUAACGUUGCACCAUGUUAAACAUACUGUAACUAUAAACAGAUAGAAACUAUUACAUCUUCUU
This is a long non-coding RNA of Tachysurus fulvidraco (yellow catfish), 1457 nucleotides long. RefSeq lists it as uncharacterized. NCBI's taxonomy places the organism in Eukaryota, Metazoa, Chordata, Actinopteri, Siluriformes, Bagridae. The transcript is spliced from 3 exons. The record is from RefSeq and is a predicted model, not a curated record.